This 460-nucleotide ribosomal RNA is filed under the name uncultured bacterium. Its description in RNAcentral is "partial 16S ribosomal RNA". It matches the Rfam family "Bacterial small subunit ribosomal RNA", at positions 338 to 795 of the family's 1533-position model. The record is from RNAcentral.
CCUACGGGGUGCAGCAGUGAGGAAUAUUGGUCAAUGGACGAGAGUCUGAACCAGCCAAGUAGCGUGAAGGAUGACUGCCCUAUGGGUUGUAAACUUCUUUUAUAUGGGAAUAAAAUGUUCCACGUGUGGGAUUUUGUAUGUACCAUAUGAAUAAGGAUCGGCUAACUCCGUGCCAGCAGCCGCGGUAAUACGGAGGAUCCGAGCGUUAUCCGGAUUUAUUGGGUUUAAAGGGAGCGUAGGUGGAUUGUUAAGUCAGUUGUGAAAGUUUGCGGCUCAACCGUAAAAUUGCAGUUGAAACUGGCAGUCUUGAGUACAGUAGAGGUGGGCGGAAUUCGUGGUGUAGCGGUGAAAUGCUUAGAUAUCACGAAGAACUCCGAUUGCGGAGGCAGUUCACUGGACUGCAACUGACACUGAGGCUCGAAAGUGUGGGUAUCAAACAGGAUUAGAUACCCGUGUAGUC